UGCCCAAGCUGCAAAUAUGUUAAUGAGUCAUAUGCAAUUACUGUGUAAUUGACUUGACUACAUCAAGGCUUUAUUAGAAAAGAAAAAUGCAUCACCAUUAAGUAUAAGACUAAAUAUCAAAAUCACUUCAGUUGUCAGCUAGGUACCAUUUAUUUUCAUGAUUUAAGAAUAUUAAACAAAAGGGGGAGAUAAGUGUCAUAGACUUCAGUCUAAGGAAGUUCGAAUCAUCCAUGUUAUGAGUUUUGUAUGAUUCAGAAGUACGCAGUGUGAGAUUGGAGUCAAGUAUUUACUGCUUACAACUCUCAUUAAAAAUAGAUAAAUGGGUUUGAUUGCACCUGAGUCUAAGUGUGGCAGCUCUCACUGGUGAGCCACGCUGAACAUCGCGUCGCCUCGUUCCAAGUAGAUUUCACCCCAAUUCUUAUUGAGAUUUGGAAAAGCUGAAAGCAGCAUUUACCCACUGCAGCUCACGUUCUGGAUGCAGAAUAGGUUCCUCGGAUUAAAUGCUCUUGAGUGAGGGACCUCUGGGUGGUUUAGUGGUUGAGCAUCUGCCUUUGGCUCAGGUCAUGAUCCCAGGGUCUUAGGAUCGAGUUCCACAUCAGGAUCCCUGCAGGGAGAGGGAGCCUGCUUCUCCUUCUGCCUGUGUCUGUCUGUCUCUGUGUCUCUUAUGAAUAAAUAAAUGAAUUAUUUAAAAAAAUGAUUCUUGAGUGAGAUUUAUUAAGUGAUAACGCUGAAACCAUUUUCUUGUUCCUUUUGAUGUCUUCCUGGCUAAUGAGGUCAUGGAAAUUUGAAGAUUUUCUGCCUUGUUAAUUGUCCUUCUUGUUUGUUUUGUUUGGAUAGGGAGUCGUAUGAGAGGCAGCAGUGAUAUUCACCCCUUGAUACUGGACCUCUGAUUCCUGUCUUCAUGAUCGCACCCUAUGGAUCUGUUCCUGAUCAUAGACCUCAUUUGUGGUGGUUCGUCUAGACAGUAACCUUCCAGUUUUCCUUAACGUUUCUUCACCCAACCUGGGUCUCCAGCACUGCCUCCUGCAUCCAAGUCAGGUGUGCUCUUCUGGAUCCUUCUCUGACCUAUCAUUUUGACAUGGGUGAGUUGCAACAUCUCAGGCUACCUUGUUCAGGAUAUACUCAGUUCUUCUUGUGGAUAAUUCUA
Molecule: long non-coding RNA, 1147 nt
Filed under: Canis lupus familiaris (dog)
Lineage: Eukaryota; Metazoa; Chordata; Mammalia; Carnivora; Canidae
Description: lncRNA (ENSCAFG00000056227.1, ENSCAFG00845018592.1)
Source: RNAcentral